GGUUAUGGCUCAGUGGUAGAGCGCUUGCCUAGCAUGUGUGAGGCACUGGGUUUGAUUCUCAGCACCA
This 67-nucleotide transfer RNA is filed under the name Marmota monax (woodchuck). Its description in RNAcentral is "tRNA.Ala". The record is from RNAcentral. Lineage: Eukaryota; Metazoa; Chordata; Mammalia; Rodentia; Sciuridae.